UACGAAGGGGGCUAGCGUUGUUCGGAAUUACUGGGCGUAAAGCGCACGUAGGCGGAUCGAUCAGUCAGGGGUGAAAUCCCAGGGCUCAACCCUGGAACUGCCUUUGAUACUGUCGAUCUGGAGUAUGGAAGAGGUGAGUGGAAUUCCGAGUGUAGAGGUGAAAUUCGUAGAUAUUCGGAGGAACACCAGUGGCGAAGGCGGCUCACUGGUCCAUUACUGACGCUGAGGUGCGAAAGCGUGGGGAGCAAACAGG
Molecule: ribosomal RNA, 253 nt
Filed under: uncultured bacterium
Lineage: Bacteria
Also listed under: 1 other name
Description: partial 16S ribosomal RNA
Rfam family: Bacterial small subunit ribosomal RNA
Source: RNAcentral